Molecule: long non-coding RNA, 1017 nt
Organism: Lynx canadensis (Canada lynx)
Lineage: Eukaryota; Metazoa; Chordata; Mammalia; Carnivora; Felidae
Exons: 2
Source: RefSeq, a predicted model, not a curated record
GGUGCGACUGUGUUCCAGUAAAACGCUAGUUACCAAAAUGGACGAUGGGCUGAGCCCUGGCUGGAAGAAGAGCCCAUAAACCUCUUAAGGUCCCCAGUUUACAAACAGUGAAGGGAAUGCAAGGUUUUAUCUUUAAGGAAGGUGUGAAGACGUUGGUCACAGGAAGGAUAUGGAACCAGAAAGAGCUAGCACGGCUCAGGCACAUGGGCAUCAACAGGUCACAAGGAAAGAAAGUGAGGUCGACUCUUCAGGAUGGAAGUCCGUCAAAGGACUAAUUUUCCUCUUUUUUCUCUGGAGGCUAGCACGGAGAGACAGAGAUGGACCAAGCUUCCUAUCCGCCUGAAAGUUUUUACGGCACGCUGGCUGAAAUCAUACGUGCAUGCAAAAAGUCUACCAGGACCCCAGAGAGCCCCCGUGUAUCGGCACAACCUGAUGGUUCUGCAGGGAUCUAUGCCGUAUAGACCGGCAGCCAGAUGCCAACGUGCUGGCAGGUGCUCAGCUGAUGAAGGAAGUGACCACAGGGAGCAUAUGCAGCAGAACCCACAGUGAACUUUACCACGUGACCCUGGGCAUGCCUGCUGACCUGGGGGCCAAGGUCAUUAGCAGCUGAUACGCCAAAGAGUUGAAAGUUUUCACUAGAAAAGACAGCUCAUAUGAGGGCCUCAGCUACUCACAGGGUCAGUCGCUACAUAGAUUCACAAAAUCUAUUCAGAUAAAGUGAUGCUUCGAUCUCAUCCCGCUCCCCAGUUCUGCCACAGCGGUAACCUUUGAUACACGCGUGUAGGGAAGAAAUUACGUACGCGUGUGUGUAAGUGUACAUUUUUCCAGUUUCUGCCAAUGAACUGCUUGCUCUAGGAAAGAAGAUCUUUAAGCUGUCAUAGGCACUAAGAAUAGAGAACUGUAAAAUUCUCUGAAGUGGUUUCUAUCUCCUAGUUGGAAUACGAUGUCUGUUUGGAACUUACUUUUACCCUUUAACUUGAAUAAAUUACACAGAGAUAGUAACUGUAUAUAUAACAC